Molecule: ribosomal RNA, 372 nt
Filed under: uncultured organism
Description: bacterial SSU rRNA
Rfam family: Bacterial small subunit ribosomal RNA
Source: RNAcentral
CGUAGGAGGCGAGCGUUAUCCGGAUUCACUGGGCGUAAAGCGCGUGCAGGUGGUUUGGUAAGUUGGGCGUGAAAUCUCCCGGCUCAACUGGGAGAGGUCGUUCAAUACUACCAAACUUGAGAGCAGAAGAGGAAGAUGGAAUUCCCGGUGUAGUGGUGAAAUGCGUAGAUAUCGGGAGGAACACCAGUGGCGAAGGCGAUCUUCUGGUCUGUUUCUGACACUCAGACGCGACAGCUAGGGUAGUAAACGGGAUUAGAGACCCCGGUAAUCCUAGCCGUAAACGAUGUGAACUUGGCGUUGGUGGGUUAAACUCCAUCAGUGCCGAAGCAAACGCGAUAAGUUCACCGCCUGGGGACUACGGCCGCAAGGUUA